CUGCAAGGCUCCUGCAGGCAGAGGAGAGAGAGAAGAUACACGUGUGGAAGACGCCCUUUGUCCUUUACUGGGGGUGUGCCCGGAAAGUAGAUUUUGUUUAUUUAUUUGACGGACAGAGAUCACAAGUAGGCCGAGAGGCAAGAAGAGAGAGGCGGCGGGGGCAGGCUCCCCGCGGAGCAGAGAGCCGGAAGCCGGGCUGCAGCCCAGAAGCCCGGGAUCAUGACCUGACCUAAGGCAGAGGAUCCAACCCAGAGUCACCUGGGCGCCCCUAAUGCUGACUUUUUUUUAAGGACCUGUAAGGUUUCUGGCAACUUGGAGUUUGGUUUCUAGGUUUCUUUUCGUGGUGUUACUCCACCGUAGCCUGAGGUUUUGGACUCGGGUUUUAUAUACGACCGACUACAUUCUCUCAAGUCACCCAGAGUCAGUAGAGAUUAUUUGGAGGACUAAUAAAAUGUAACGAAGCUAAUCGUAUCCACAGUCCCACCACUCAAACGAUGACCAUUAAUAAUACUACGUGAUAAAUUUCCCUAGAGGUUUUUCAUUCAUUCGUGCAUUUAUCCAUUUUUGUAUUGCAUCAUGACCUGAACAUCCCACUUUUUAAAGAUUUUUUACCCAGUUACCCUCAUUGUAAAAGUCAUUUGAAAAAGACACUCUAAUUUCUUACUCAUUUGUCUUCCUAAAACAAUACACAAUUUUUAAAAGAGUGAAAAAAAUAUAUACAAUUUUUAGUAUCUGAGAUAGAAAGCAGAAAUAACUUGUGAUUCCUAUCUCAAAGGCCAUUAUCAUAAUGGAACCUUCCUAAGUUAGGGGCUAUGCUCAUUUUGCUUUGUUUUGCUAACCACUGUAUUUUCAGCACACCAACAAAACGAUGCUUAGCAGUGCAUUCUCAAUAUAUAUUUGUUGAAUAAUUGAACAGGUAUUUCUUUCGGAUGCUUUUCUUGUAAAUAUACUUUAUUUUUUCAUAAUA
This is a long non-coding RNA of Mustela lutreola (European mink), 967 nucleotides long. RefSeq lists it as uncharacterized. NCBI's taxonomy places the organism in Eukaryota, Metazoa, Chordata, Mammalia, Carnivora, Mustelidae. The record is from RefSeq and is a predicted model, not a curated record. The transcript has 2 exons.